CUCCGCCCAAACGGAAAGAGAGGAAAGGGGAAAAGAAAAGAAAGAGGACUGGGCGGUGCGUUCACAGCCAAAAAAAACUCGCCGGACGCCACCUGUGUCAGUCAGGGUUGAUUCUGCUCAUGCCUGCAGCCUCACACAGCUGCUAGAGCGGGGAACCAAAGUCGUUACGUCCACGACAGCCUGGGUGUUAACCAAUGAAAUCUCACGAUCCGAGCUACUGCAAUCUAAAAUCUAUGGACCGGAGACGUCUGUGUGGAACAGCACCCUGCUGACCCCCCCCCCAUUUCAAAAAGAACGAGCAGGGGCUCAAAUUACAGCAGCACAGACUCACCGGAAUCCUGUCUGCCCACAUUUAAAACUGAAGUACACCUAAGGAGGGUUUGCCUGUUCUUUCUGUCACGUGUUUGUAUCUGUAGCAAAGGUCUGGAGUUUGUGAUCGUCCAAAAGAACAAAAAAAUAAAAUAAUGAUAAUACUGAUUAAAGAAUGUAUUUG
Molecule: long non-coding RNA, 493 nt
Organism: Xiphias gladius (swordfish)
Lineage: Eukaryota; Metazoa; Chordata; Actinopteri; Istiophoriformes; Xiphiidae
Exons: 3
Source: RefSeq, a predicted model, not a curated record